This is a small nuclear RNA of Medicago truncatula (barrel medic), 107 nucleotides long. The record is from Rfam. NCBI's taxonomy places the organism in Eukaryota, Viridiplantae, Streptophyta, Magnoliopsida, Fabales, Fabaceae.
GUCCCUUUGGGAACAUCCGAUAAAAUUGGAACGAUAUAGAGAAGAUUGGCAUGGAUGGCCCUUGCACAAGGAUGACACGCACAAAUUGAGAAAUGGUCCAAUCUUCU